GACGAACGCUGGCGGCGUGCUUAACACAUGCAAGUCGAACGGAAAGGCCUGCUUUCCCUUGUGGAUUGCGGGUACUCGCGUGGCGAACGGGUGAGUAACACGUGAGUGAUCUGCCCCCAACUUGGGCAUAAGCCUGGGAAACUGGGUCUAAUUCCCGAUAGGACUGCAGGGUGGUGCCUGUGGUGGAAAACGAUUUUCUAGUGGUUGGGGAUGAGCUCGCGGCCUAUCAGCUUGUUGGUGGGGUAAUGGCCUACCAAGGCGGCGACGGGUAGCCGGCCUGAGAGGGUGGACGGCCACAUUGGGACUGAGAUACGGCCCAGACUCCUACGGGAGGCAGCAGUGGGGAAUAUUGCACAAUGGGCGGAAGCCUGAUGCAGCGACGCCGCGUGGGGGAUGACGGCCUUCGGGUUGUAAACUCCUUUCGACCGCGAGGAAGCCACCUGGUUGGAAGGGUGGUGACGGUAGUGGUAGAAGAAGCACCGGCUAACUACGUG
This 494-nucleotide ribosomal RNA is filed under the name uncultured bacterium. RNAcentral's name for it is "partial 16S ribosomal RNA". It matches the Rfam family "Bacterial small subunit ribosomal RNA", at positions 28 to 507 of the family's 1533-position model. The record is from RNAcentral.